RNAcentral lists this long non-coding RNA (1656 nucleotides) under Anas platyrhynchos platyrhynchos (common mallard). RNAcentral's name for it is "lncRNA (ENSAPLG00000023902.1)". Lineage: Eukaryota; Metazoa; Chordata; Aves; Anseriformes; Anatidae. The record is from RNAcentral.
ACAAGCAGGCACCAAGCUACAAGUGAGCAACUUUCCCACUAAUCCUCCAAGGCGUGUGACAAUAUGACCCUGAGCUUUUACAACUAAGAACAGUAUGGUAUGUAAAUAUUAUGAACAUAUAUGGUAAGUGCUCUACUUGCUCAAAAACAUGCAAAAUGAUUCUCGAGAAUGUCUAGCUGACCCUAAAGCCACACAGAUUAUUCUUUUUUUGUCUGCAGCAUUCAUCUCUGUAUAAAACCAUGAUAUAAGUUCACUGGAGCACGAAUUGUGUCUUGUUUACUUUAUUUCUCAAUUAAGCAUGUUUUAUUUUUUAUACAAAUAAUAAAAAUGAGAAAUAAUAAAAAUAUUGUUUUGUAUUUGCCACUACAUUCUUUCCAGAGAGAAAUAAUCACUUGCUGAACUGAGAACAUUUUAACGGCUAGCUGGAAAUCAGCAUGUCACUAGCUGUGACACAUUAAAUGACUCCAGGAAACGUGACUCUCUCUGCAAACAAACACUUAAAAAUCUUAAGAAAAUCUGUUUUUAUUUCUUUGAAAACAUUGUGGCAUCUAUUAAAGACAUUAACCUAGGGGAAAAAAAAAAAAGAAGAAAAAAAAAAAGAAAAAAAAAGAAUAUUGUUUUAAGACUGAAAUUUCACAAUAGAACAGAAUGCAGCCUUUUUUAUAAUGAAUAUAUAAUCUGUAUACUCCACUAAAAACUUAGCAGUGGCACUAAAACAAUGUGCAAAACUGAGGUUUAUUUAUACACAAGCAACUAAGAUAAAGCAGAUGAGGGAAAAAUGCAAUGGAGACUUACUGAUUUUGCAAUGGAAAUAAAAAGUUAUGAAUAACCUUUCAAUAGCACUCCUAAGUGCUUCAAGAGCUAUGUAGUGCCGACACAUUUAAUAACUAAUAUACUUUUAUGUGUUGUGGCUCAUGAUACUUUCUGCCUUUGAAAGUUUCCAUCUUUUACCAUGUAUAAGUAUCUGCAGAUUCUUUCUGUUCUCAGUGUGUAUUUUCUUGAUUUGCAAUUCAGCUUUCAUUAUUGAUAGGGACUUGGAACCUGCAACCCACAGAGAAGUCCCAAGAGUGCACAUUUAUCCAUGGAAUUAUACCAAGAAUAAAUUAGACCAUGGACCUCAGAGGCACCACUCACAAGGAAUAUGUUUGCAUAUCAAGUACAUUUUUCACAUCCUUGCUCAAGCUCUGGAAAAGGCUCAUAAUAGAAAGGGAACUUGCAGAUUCUUCUGUGCAAGCAUCAGGUAAUGGAAGAAUAUGAUGCAAUUAUUCAGGUGAGCUAUUAACUGAAAUGUAAGAUUAUUAACUGAGGUAACAUUAUUCCCUGCAGUGUCACUGAACACACUAUUCUUGCAUUCUUCCAGCAUGACACAAUGCUUAUGAUUGAUAGUGACUGUUAGGUCCAGACCAGGAACAACAGCAUCCUGCUCUAAAAUCCUUCCUCUGCCUAAUGAUCCUUGCUUUUUUAUUAAUGUUCUGUUAAUUCCUGGUAAACCUGCUAUUCUUCUAAGGGCCUUAAAAAAAAACACUUUCUUCAUCAUGCCAUUAUUUGAUCAUCACUUAGUUCUUACAAAAAUAUCUGAACUGAUCUUAAGAAAAAAAAAAAAAGAUGGGAAAAGAAGAAUAAUAAAAUAGGAAAGACUAAUGAAAUGGAAGAACA